UUAAGCGACUAAGCGUACACGGUGGAUGCCCUGGCAGUCAGAGGCGAUGAAGGACGUGCUAAUCUGCGAUAAGCGUCGGUAAGGUGAUAUGAACCGUUAUAACCGGCGAUUUCCGAAUGGGGAAACCCAGUGUGAUUCGUCACACUAUCAUUAACUGAAUCCAUAGGUUAAUGAGGCGAACCGGGGGAACUGAAACAUCUAAGUACCCCGAGGAAAAGAAAUCAACCGAGAUUCCCCCAGUAGCGGCGAGCGAACGGGGAGCAGCCCAGAGCCUGAAUCAGUGUGUGUGUUAGUGGAAGCGUCUGGAAAGGCGCGCGAUACAGGGUGACAGCCCCGUACACAAAAAUGCACAUGCUGUGAGCUCGAUGAGUAGGGCGGGACACGUGGUAUCCUGUCUGAAUAUGGGGGGACCAUCCUCCAAGGCUAAAUACUCCUGACUGACCGAUAGUGAACCAGUACCGUGAGGGAAAGGCGAAAAGAACCCCGGCGAGGGGAGUGAAAAAGAACCUGAAACCGUGUACGUACAAGCAGUGGGAGCACGCUUAGGCGUGUGACUGCGUACCUUUUGUAUAAUGGGUCAGCGACUUAUAUUCUGUAGCAAGGUUAACCGAAUAGGGGAGCCGAAGGGAAACCGAGUCUUAACUGGGCGUUAAGUUGCAGGGUAUAGACCCGAAACCCGGUGAUCUAGCCAUGGGCAGGUUGAAGGUUGGGUAACACUAACUGGAGGACCGAACCGACUAAUGUUGAAAAAUUAGCGGAUGACUUGUGGCUGGGGGUGAAAGGCCAAUCAAACCGGGAGAUAGCUGGUUCUCCCCGAAAGCUAUUUAGGUAGCGCCUCGUGAAUUCAUCUCCGGGGGUAGAGCACUGUUUCGGCAAGGGGGUCAUCCCGACUUACCAACCCGAUGCAAACUGCGAAUACCGGAGAAUGUUAUCACGGGAGACACACGGCGGGUGCUAACGUCCGUCGUGAAGAGGGAAACAACCCAGACCGCCAGCUAAGGUCCCAAAGUCAUGGUUAAGUGGGAAACGAUGUGGGAAGGCCCAGACAGCCAGGAUGUUGGCUUAGAAGCAGCCAUCAUUUAAAGAAAGCGUAAUAGCUCACUGGUCGAGUCGGCCUGCGCGGAAGAUGUAACGGGGCUAAACCAUGCACCGAAGCUGCGGCAGCGACACUAUGUGUUGUUGGGUAGGGGAGCGUUCUGUAAGCCUGUGAAGGUGUACUGUGAGGUAUGCUGGAGGUAUCAGAAGUGCGAAUGCUGACAUAAGUAACGAUAAAGCGGGUGAAAAGCCCGCUCGCCGGAAGACCAAGGGUUCCUGUCCAACGUUAAUCGGGGCAGGGUGAGUCGACCCCUAAGGCGAGGCCGAAAGGCGUAGUCGAUGGGAAACAGGUUAAUAUUCCUGUACUUGGUGUUACUGCGAAGGGGGGACGGAGAAGGCUAUGUUGGCCGGGCGACGGUUGUCCCGGUUUAAGCGUGUAGGCUGGUUUUCCAGGCAAAUCCGGAAAAUCAAGGCUGAGGCGUGAUGACGAGGCACUACGGUGCUGAAGCAACAAAUGCCCUGCUUCCAGGAAAAGCCUCUAAGCAUCAGGUAACAUCAAAUCGUACCCCAAACCGACACAGGUGGUCAGGUAGAGAAUACCAAGGCGCUUGAGAGAACUCGGGUGAAGGAACUAGGCAAAAUGGUGCCGUAACUUCGGGAGAAGGCACGCUGAUAUGUAGGUGAAGUCCCUCGCGGAUGGAGCUGAAAUCAGUCGAAGAUACCAGCUGGCUGCAACUGUUUAUUAAAAACACAGCACUGUGCAAACACGAAAGUGGACGUAUACGGUGUGACGCCUGCCCGGUGCCGGAAGGUUAAUUGAUGGGGUCAGCGCAAGCGAAGCUCUUGAUCGAAGCCCCGGUAAACGGCGGCCGUAACUAUAACGGUCCUAAGGUAGCGAAAUUCCUUGUCGGGUAAGUUCCGACCUGCACGAAUGGCGUAAUGAUGGCCAGGCUGUCUCCACCCGAGACUCAGUGAAAUUGAACUCGCUGUGAAGAUGCAGUGUACCCGCGGCAAGACGGAAAGACCCCGUGAACCUUUACUAUAGCUUGACACUGAACAUUGAGCCUUGAUGUGUAGGAUAGGUGGGAGGCUUUGAAGUGUGGACGCCAGUCUGCAUGGAGCCGACCUUGAAAUACCACCCUUUAAUGUUUGAUGUUCUAACGUGGACCCGUAAUCCGGGUUGCGGACAGUGUCUGGUGGGUAGUUUGACUGGGGCGGUCUCCUCCUAAAGAGUAACGGAGGAGCACGAAGGUUGGCUAAUCCUGGUCGGACAUCAGGAGGUUAGUGCAAUGGCAUAAGCCAGCUUGACUGCGAGCGUGACGGCGCGAGCAGGUGCGAAAGCAGGUCAUAGUGAUCCGGUGGUUCUGAAUGGAAGGGCCAUCGCUCAACGGAUAAAAGGUACUCCGGGGAUAACAGGCUGAUACCGCCCAAGAGUUCAUAUCGACGGCGGUGUUUGGCACCUCGAUGUCGGCUCAUCACAUCCUGGGGCUGAAGUAGGUCCCAAGGGUAUGGCUGUUCGCCAUUUAAAGUGGUACGCGAGCUGGGUUUAGAACGUCGUGAGACAGUUCGGUCCCUAUCUGCCGUGGGCGCUGGAGAACUGAGGGGGGCUGCUCCUAGUACGAGAGGACCGGAGUGGACGCAUCACUGGUGUUCGGGUUGUCAUGCCAAUGGCACUGCCCGGUAGCUAAAUGCGGAAGAGAUAAGUGCUGAAAGCAUCUAAGCACGAAACUUGCCCCGAGAUGAGUUCUCCCUGACUCCUUGAGAGUCCUGAAGGAACGUUGAAGACGACGACGUUGAUAGGCCGGGUGUGUAAGCGCAGCGAUGCGUUGAGCUAACCGGUACUAAUGAACCGUGAGGCUUAACCUU
Molecule: ribosomal RNA, 2901 nt
Filed under: Escherichia coli
Lineage: Bacteria; Pseudomonadati; Pseudomonadota; Gammaproteobacteria; Enterobacterales; Enterobacteriaceae
Description: bacterial LSU rRNA
Rfam family: Bacterial large subunit ribosomal RNA
Source: RNAcentral